GUGGGUCUGAGCCCUCAGGUGGGAAGGUUGGGGUACCUGUCUAGGUGUGGGCAGCCGGGCUGCUUGUUCCCAAGCCCAGGUGCAGAGACUUUGCGUUCUUGGGAAAAUGCAAAAGAUGAACCACAAGGUGGCGCUCAGCACAUAAGAAUUCUAGGACCACUCAAAGCUUCCCUCCUUCCCGGAACUUAAACUUUUUAUUAACUCUCGAUUUACGAAAACAAUAAUAUACAUAAAAGAAAUUCGAGACUUUCCUGGAUAUCCUUUCCUUUUUCUCCUUUUCCAAUAUUUCCAGCUUGAUUCGGAUAACCUAAUCCUGCGUCAUCCCAAGGUCUAGUCCAGAAUGGCAGGAGCAGCCUCCUGAACUCCCAGCAAAGAAAGCUCCAUUUCAAAGGGAACUGAGAACAGUAACGAAGGCACAGAACGCCCUGCCAUCCGUGGUUUCCUAGAUGGAUAAACUGUUUUCCCCCCCAGAAUACUGAAAGCGGGGCAAAAUCUGGGAGUCAGGCAGAGCAGCCUUCAGAAUGUGAUCUUAGGAUUUUCUCCUGACCCCAAAAUUCCACCGGUAGGGAGGAGUUCGAGUUUAUGCAAAAAUUAUUCUAUUGCUACACACUUCCACAUUUUCCCUUUUUUGUACCACGUUACCUUCCGUCGUUUCUCAGAUUUCCACUCGCUGUGAUGUGCGUCAUUCUCUCUCCCCAUCCUGCCAAGACAAGUUACUCUCCCUCACCACCAGAGCUCUGUGCUAUUCAGGGCCCAGCCGGCUGGCUGCCUUAGGACACGGGGUGGGGCCGAGGGUGACUGGACUGUUCAGAGACCAGAUGCACUGGGGAGGGAACCCAGACCUUUGGAACUUUGGAAACAAGUGUGUUCUGUGUCCUUGCAGAAAGUCACAUGAACAGCAAAUUUCCCAAAAUUUUUUCCUCUUAUUGUCUUUUCGUGUGUUGUAUGUGUGUGUGUGUAUGUGUACAUAAAAUAUUAAUUUCAACUGCUGUCUGAAAUAUCCUCACUGAGUUCUGCUGCCUUUCACGGUCAAGGGGGGCCCCUGCCUUGCGGGGUGCGUAGCAUCGUUUGUAAGAUCCAGCCUGCAUGUUCCAACCAGCCAGUGUGAGGUCACCUUCUGCGAGCUUGAUUCCCAGGACCAUCCAAUCUGGGCACCUCGAUCACAGUCAGAGUGUGUGGUUGGUUGAGGACUCAGCCCCAUGUCUCCCCAGGACAAGCCCGCCAUUGCUUCAUCAUUGGCUGGGGCCACCCCUGGGAGAUGUGGCCUCGAUGCAAAUACUUAGUAGACAAUAAGCCAGAGCUAAAGAAAUAAAUGAUUCUACAACCUUCUUGAAGGUCACCUGUGAUGGUGAGAGGAAGAAACGGGACGUCUAUAAAAGGAAUCCUUUUAGCAGCAAAAUCUGUUGAAAUCAAGAUGUGCAGAUCUUGAUGGGAAUAUGUACGUAAUUUAAUAUGAAGUCUGCAUCAACCCCAAAGGAUGGAGAGAUGAAUUUACUGCUCAGCCAAGGGGGCACGCAAGUUCUCCCAGGUUCUAUUCCGUGGCUCCAUGCAGAUGCAUCUGCCUUCCCACCAGCGGUGUUAAUUAAGCAGCGUCCAUGGGCCCAUAACACCUAGGCAUCGAGCAGACCCAGCGGAACGCAACUCCAAUGACUGAAUUCCUCUCCCGUCACGUGACACGGGCUGCCAUGACAAGCAUCAUGGACUGAGUGACUUAAAAAUCAGAAACUGAUUUCCUCACGGUUCUGGAGGCUGGAAGUCCAAGAUCAAAGUGUCAGCAAGACCAGAAUUUCCGACAGUAGCCAAAGCUUUGUUUUGCUCUUCAGUUAUGUCACGAGUCUUAUUUGAACAAUGUCGCUUUAUUGAGAACUGAGGCUUUGCCCAGACGGACGCCACGUGCUCGGCACAAACAUCUUGUUUUUAAUGAGGAAAGUGUAGACUCAAUAUCCACAAGGAAAAGGAAGCUUUUGGUAUCUGACAUUCCUGCCAGUCCUUUGGGGGGCUUGAAAUGUGUAACAUCUGGGCACGAUAAACAAUAAUAAGGUCUAAUAAUGUUUUCAGUGCUCAGCAUCUUCUUAAUAACCUGUCUACAGACCUUUUAAAUGCCCUACACAAAUAAUAACACUAAAGUUUUGAAACCACAGGCAUCAUUAGCUUGCAUGUCCUGAGAACCACUCUGCGGCACACGUGAUGUGACGUUCCUGGCUGAGAGAAACAUUUAUCACAGCACAGGGGGAAAUGCCUAAUGAGUUACAUGGAAACAAGACGUCCCGACUCUUGAAUUUGGGAUUUGUGCUCCAUCUUGAUGCAGGCACUGUGGACUGAAUGGUUGUGAUGAUUAAGUUCCAACUUGAGCCAGUGGAACAAUGCAAAAAAUCCAGCACUCUAUUUGGCUAACUUUUCUUUUUACAUUUUAAAUACGUUUGGGUUUUUGCACAGCUUUUAAAAAUCCUAAAUACAACUCGCAAGAAUUCUACCAAUGCAGCAGCAAGACAAGGCCGUAAUUUAUUUGGGAAAUUGACCAAAACAAAAAUACAUUUCUGGAAAAGGUGAAGAAUGACUUUCCCUUUCUCUUUCUCCGUUUGCUGAGCAGUUCUGUGUGCUUGGCUCAGGCAGGAGAAACAAGCAUUGAUAAAUUAGGUGUGGCGAGCCCCCUCCUGCCAUGUUUGGAUGGAGGACCUGUGGCAUGCUUUCCUUUAAUUACCUGUCAUUUUCUUUCUCUCCUUGGGAACGUCGGGGAGCUGUCCAGAAAAAUAAUUGCUUCACAUGUAGGGUGGGUCAAGACCUUUUCCAAGCUCUCUAGAAAAAAGAAUAAAAUAUUACAUUCAAAUACCUGUCUUGCAAAUACUUGUAUAUUUGUACUUCCCAUAAUUCCACUGUGCAAACAAGCGAUGGGCCUGGGUCAGUCCGGUAUUACCUUCCAAGGCGGCGGUUGUUAUGAGGAAUAAAAGGUGGAAAUAUGUGGUCUCUUUCUCGAAGACACGGAAAGUAACAAAACAUUCCUAAUUUAAAGUUAGCCAGGAAUAUGAGACAGCAUUUGUGUUUAUAGGGGAAUUGAAAACUACAAAGAAUGUGGUCGUUGUUUCAGAGAAGAGAUAUACAGGGGGCUGACAUGCUCACGGUGGGUUUCCCCCGAAGGCCAGCUGUGUCUUUCUAAAUUGAAG
Molecule: long non-coding RNA, 3161 nt
Filed under: Equus caballus (horse)
Lineage: Eukaryota; Metazoa; Chordata; Mammalia; Perissodactyla; Equidae
Description: lncRNA (ENSECAG00000059506.1)
Source: RNAcentral